RNAcentral lists this ribosomal RNA (484 nucleotides) under uncultured bacterium. RNAcentral's name for it is "partial 16S ribosomal RNA". It matches the Rfam family "Bacterial small subunit ribosomal RNA", at positions 30 to 507 of the family's 1533-position model. The record is from RNAcentral.
AUUGAACGCUGGCGGCAGGCCUAACACAUGCAAGUCGAGCGGAUGAAGGGAGCUUGCUCCUGGAUUCAGCGGCGGACGGGUGAGUAAUGCCUAGGAAUCUGCCUGGUAGUGGGGGAUAACGUCCGGAAACGGGCGCUAAUACCGCAUACGUCCUGAGGGAGAAAGUGGGGGAUCUUUGGACCUCACGCUAUCUGCUGAGCCUAGGUAGGAUUAGCUAGUUGGUGGGGUAAAGGCCUACCAAGGCGACGAUCCGUAACUGGUCUGAGAGGAUGAUCAGUCACACUGGAACUGAGACACGGUCCAGACUCCUACGGGAGGCAGCAGUGGGGAAUAUUGGGCAAUGGGCGAAAGCCUGAUCCAGCCAUGCCGCGUGUGUGAAGAAGGUCUUCGGAUUGUAAAGCACUUUAAGUUGGGAGGAAGGGCAGUAAGUUAAUACCUUGCUGUUUUGACGUUACCAACAGAAUAAGCACCGGCUAACUUCGUG